UUAUUGGCCUUCUGCUGUGUGGAGCUUGCAGGGAUGUAGUUGUGCAGGUCAACAAGCUUUGGGAAGAAAUGUUUCACAACCUCUGCAGCCAUCACUACAGAGGGAUCCAUGGAGAGGCACAGUCAGCUCACAAGAUGGACAUUACCAGCUAUGCUUAUCUGAUCCCUCCUGGACUACAUCCCUGGUUACCAAAAAGUUGGCAAGCUGUGGUCGUCUCUUUUUCAAGCAGCACAUCAGAGUCCCGAUAACAACAACCAACAGCAGGAGACAGCAAACUGCCAGAGACACAGCUAACACCACGGAGGUUACGCUGCCGCCACUCCAGGAAGCGUCCAAGGGUGAUCUCAGGGCUAGUGCUGACGUCAAUCUGAUCUCUGUACGACCAGAUAUCCACACCGACCAGCAUCACGCGAAUAUUCAGCGGUCGAUAGAGCUGAAACAGAACAGCAUAAUUUGAAAUCACUAAAACUGAAUGAAAUAUCGGACUGCCCAGCUUGAACAGUCCAGAUGAACGAGGGCCGUGAUCAUAGAAAGUGGUUGUGUUUCCAUGGGAACAGGAGCUCCUCUUUAUCCUCAGGUGUUUGUAGUCGUAAACGGCGUGUAGACCCUCGUCACUGUGAUCCUCGGAGCUCUGGACCUCAUCCUGCUGACCCGCUUUGGCACCAGAUAGAGGUUCAAUGAGCUAUUAACUCAAACAGAGAGGGUCCUUUACAGCAGAAGGAGACAGCACCAGAGGGAUGCAACGUGUAGUUCUUCCCUGCAAUCGUCAAAGAGUACUGGACCACAUCAGGGUACGUCUACACACACAAAGAGAGAGUUGGAGAGACUUUAAUGCAUUCUGGAUACAGGGUUACAAACUAAUAUUCCUCUGAGGUAUCACUGUUUGGUACUUCUUCACAUGAGGAAGAGUCCUCAAACUGCCAGCACUCAUUAUUCCUGCAAGGAUAUCAGGGAUGUUUGAUGAAAAAAACAGCAGAGAAAGAAAGAAACAGAGAGAGAGAAAGAAAGAAACAGUGAAAUAAAGAAAAGGAAAGAUUCCAUACCCCAUGAGGAGAAUAUAAUCCAUACAAUAAAUCCAGAAUCUGGCAUGUUGCUCUACCGGUGGCUCUCUGUCAUUGUGUGCUUGGCAGUCUGAGGGAAAUACCGAGGAGGCUCUUCAGCUCUCCGCCCCUCUCUGCUGUGUAAUAUCCUGAAAAUUACCAUUUGAGGCUGAGAGACCACAUGAGUCACAAACUGAGCCUGUAAAAGAAGUUAAAUGCUUGUCUUAUUACAAACAGAAUAUUAAGUGCUGAGUGAGCCAAAGUAAUUAACAGUCAUCAUUUUAUGGACAGUUAAAGGGUGAAGUUAACCGCACUUUAAAAAUGUGUUAAAGUUUGUCAACCAUGUUACUGAAAAAAGUUCACUCUUCAUUAAUUUAUUUCCUCCAUCUUUAUUC
This is a long non-coding RNA of Notolabrus celidotus (New Zealand spotty), 1435 nucleotides long. RefSeq lists it as uncharacterized. The record is from RefSeq and is a predicted model, not a curated record. The transcript has 8 exons. NCBI's taxonomy places the organism in Eukaryota, Metazoa, Chordata, Actinopteri, Labriformes, Labridae.